Molecule: ribosomal RNA, 1349 nt
Filed under: uncultured bacterium
Lineage: Bacteria
Description: bacterial SSU rRNA
Rfam family: Bacterial small subunit ribosomal RNA
Source: RNAcentral
CAGGCUUAACACAUGCAAGUCGAGGGGCAGCGGGGAGGAAGCUUGCUUUCUCCGCCGGCGACCGGCGCACGGGUGAGUAACACGUAUGCAACCUGCCCCUGUCAGGGGGACAACCCGCCGAAAGGCGGGCUAAACCCGCGUACAUGCCACCGGGGCAUCCCGGAGGCAGGAAAGGCUUCGGCCGGACAGGGAUGGGCAUGCGGCGCAUUAGGCAGUAGGCGGGGUAACGGCCCACCUAACCGACGAUGCGUAGGGGUUCUGAGAGGAAGGUCCCCCACACUGGUACUGAGACACGGACCAGACUCUACGGGAGGCAGCAGUGAGGAAUAUUGGUCAAUGGUCGGGAGACUGAACCAGCCAAGCCGCGUGAGGGAGGAAGGUACAGAGUAUCGUAAACCUCUUUUGUCAGGGAACAAAGGCGGGGACGUGUCCCCGGAUGAGUGUACCUGAAGAAAAAGCAUCGGCUAACUCCGUGCCAGCAGCCGCGGUAAUACGGAGGAUGCGAGCGUUAUCCGGAUUUAUUGGGUUUAAAGGGUGCGCAGGCGGUCUGUUAAGUCAGCGGUCAAAGCCCGGGGCUCAACCCCGGCCCGCCGUUGAAACUGGCAGUCUCGAGUUGGAGAGAAGUAUGCGGAAUGCGCGGUGUAGCGGUGAAAUGCAUAGAUAUCGCGCAGAACUCCGAUUGCGAAGGCAGCAUGCCGGCUCCACACUGACGCUGAGGCACGAAAGCGUGGGUAUCGAACAGGAUUAGAUACCCUGGUAGUCCACGCAGUAAACGAUGAAUGCUGGCUGUCCGGGGGGACUGACCCCUGGGUGGCGAAGCGAAAGCGAUAAGCAUUCCACCUGGGGAGUACGCCGGCAACGGUGAAACUCAAAGGAAUUGACGGGGGCCCGCACAAGCGGAGGAACAUGUGGUUUAAUUCGAUGAUACGCGAGGAACCUUACCCGGGCUCAAACGGGGAGUGGCGCAGGCAGAGACGCCUGUUUCCCACGGGACACUCCCCGAGGUGCUGCAUGGUUGUCGUCAGCUCGUGCCGUGAGGUGUCGGCUUAAGUGCCAUAACGAGCGCAACCCCCGCGUGCAGUUGCUAACAGUCAACGCUGAGGACUCUGCACGGACUGCCGGCGCAAGCCGCGAGGAAGGCGGGGAUGACGUCAAAUCAGCACGGCCCUUACGUCCGGGGCGACACACGUGUUACAAUGGGUGGUACAGCGGGAAGCCAGGCGGCGACGCCGAGCGGAACCCGAAAUCCACUCUCAGUUCGGAUCGGAGUCUGCAACCCGACUCCGUGAAGCUGGAUUCGCUAGUAAUCGCGCAUCAGCCAUGGCGCGGUGAAUACGUUCCCGGGCCUU